This is a small nucleolar RNA of Nannospalax galili (Upper Galilee mountains blind mole rat), 133 nucleotides long. The record is from Ensembl. NCBI's taxonomy places the organism in Eukaryota, Metazoa, Chordata, Mammalia, Rodentia, Spalacidae.
UUGGCCCUGAAUCAAGGCCAAUAGGUUGUUGAAGCUGUUGCUUUCAAGUAGGAACCUAAAGAAAUGUCUUCUUAUGUUGGCCAUUUUAGAAAAUUUUGGAGAUAUACAGUCAGUUCAUUAGAAAGAAACAUCU